GACGAACGCUGGCGGCGCGCCUAAUACAUGCAAGUCGAGCGAGAAGACGUAGCAAUACGUUUGUAAAGCGGCGAACGGGUGAGGAAUACAUGGGUAACCUACCCUAGAGUGGGGAAUAACUAGCCGAAAGGUUAGCUAAUACCGCGUACGCUCCUUGGACUUCGGUUCAGGGAGGAAAGCGAUGCCGAGGGUAUCGCGCUCUUGGAUGGGCUCAUGUCCUAUCAGCUUGUUGGGAGGUAACGGCUCACCAAGGCUUCGACGGGUAGCUGGUCUGAGAGGACGACCAGCCACAUUGGGACUGAGACACGGCCCAGACUCCUACGGGAGGCAGCAGUAGGGAAUCUUGCGCAAUGGGCGAAAGCCUGACGCAGCAACGCCGCGUGGGGGA
This 388-nucleotide ribosomal RNA is filed under the name uncultured bacterium. RNAcentral describes it as "bacterial SSU rRNA". It matches the Rfam family "Bacterial small subunit ribosomal RNA", at positions 28 to 408 of the family's 1533-position model. The record is from RNAcentral.